UAAACAGGUACCAGACCUACAGAGAACAGAGAACAGAGAGUUAAACAGGUACCAGACCUGCAGAGAACAGAGGACAGGGAGUUGAACAGGUACCAGACCUACAGAGAACAGAGAGUUAAACAGGUCCAGACCUACAGAGAACAGAGAGUGAAACAGGUACCAGACCUGCAGAGAACAGAGAACAGGGAGUUGAACAGGUACCAGACCUACAGAGAACAGAGAGUUAAACAGGUCCAGACCUACAGAGAACAGAGAGUGAAACAGGUACCAGACCUGCAGAGAACAGAGGACAGGGAGUUAAACAGGUACCAGACCUGCAGAGAACAGAGAACAGGGAGUUAAACAGGUACCAGACCUACAGAGAACAGGGAGUUAAACAGGUACCAGACCUACAGAGAACAGAGAGUUAAACAGGUACCAGACCUACAGAGAACAGGGAGUUAAACAGGUACCAGACCUACAGAUAACAGAGAGUUAAACAGGUACCAUACCUACAGAGAACAGGGAGUUAAACAGGUACCAGACCUACAGAGAACAGAUAGUUAAACAGGUACCAGACCUACAGAGAACAGGGAGUUAAACAGGUACCAGACCUACAGAGAACAGGGAGUUAAACAGGUACCAGACCUACAGAGAACAGGGAGUUAAACAGGUACCAGACCUACAGAGAACAGGGAGUUAAACAGGUACCAGACCUACAGAGAACAGGGAGUUAAACAGGUACCAGACCUACAGAGGACAGGGAGUUAAACAGGUACCAGACCUACAGAGAACAGAGGACAGCGAGUUAAACAGGUACCAGACCUACAGAGAACAGAGGACAGGGAGUUAAACAGGUACCAGACCUACAGAGAACAGAGGACAGGGAGUUAAACAGGUACCAGACCUACAGAGAACAGAGAACAGAGAGUUAAACAGGUACCAGACCUACAGAGAACAGGGAGUUAAACAGGUACCAGACCUACAGAGAACAGAGAGUUAAACAGGUACCAGACCUACAGAGAACAGGGAGUUAAACAGGUACCAGACCUACAGAGAACAGAGAACAGAGAGUUAAACAGGUACCAGACCUACAGAGAACAGAGAACAGAGAGUUAAACAGGUACCAGACCUACAGAGAACAGAGAGUUAAACAGGUACCAGACCUACAGAGAACAGGGAGUUAAACAGGUACCAGACCUACAGAGAACAGAGAGUUAAACAGGUACCAGACCUACAGAGAACAGGGAGUUAAACAGGUACCAGACCUACAGAGAACAGGGAGUUAAACAGGUACCAGACCUACAGAGAACAGAGAGUUAAACAGGUACCAGACCUACAGAGAACAGGGAGUUAAACAGGUACCAGAC
Molecule: long non-coding RNA, 1349 nt
Organism: Oncorhynchus keta (chum salmon)
Lineage: Eukaryota; Metazoa; Chordata; Actinopteri; Salmoniformes; Salmonidae
Exons: 3
Source: RefSeq, a predicted model, not a curated record